This 251-nucleotide ribosomal RNA is filed under the name uncultured prokaryote. RNAcentral's name for it is "partial 16S rRNA". It matches the Rfam family "Bacterial small subunit ribosomal RNA", at positions 525 to 775 of the family's 1533-position model. The record is from RNAcentral.
ACGAAGGGGGCUAGCGUUGUUCGGAUUUACUGGGCGUAAAGCGCACGUAGGCGGACUAUUAAGUCAGGGGUGAAAUCCCGGGGCUCAACCCCGGAACUGCCUUUGAUACUGGUAGUCUUGAGUUCGAGAGAGGUGAGUGGAAUUCCGAGUGUGGCGGUGAAAUUCGUAGAUAUUCGGAGGAACGCGAGUGGGGGAGGCGAACCACUGGGUUUAGACUGACGCUGAGGUGCGAAAGCGUCGGGAACAAACAG